Molecule: small nuclear RNA, 125 nt
Organism: Manis pentadactyla (Chinese pangolin)
Lineage: Eukaryota; Metazoa; Chordata; Mammalia; Pholidota; Manidae
Source: RefSeq, a predicted model, not a curated record
GUGUUUUAUGAAAGGAGAGAAGGUUAGCAGUAGCCCUGAUAAAGAUGGAAGAGGCACUCAGGCCUGACAGCAUGCAUACAGUUAGGCAUUGCCACCUACUUCAUGGCAUCUAACCAUCGUUUUCC